UACAGAGGGGGCAAGCGUUGUUCGGAAUUACUGGGCGUAAAGGGCGCGUAGGCGGCCUUCUAAGUCAGACGUGAAAUCCCCGGGCUCAACCCGGGAACUGCGUCUGAUACUGGAUGGCUUGAAUCCGGGAGAGGGAUGUGGAAUUCCAGGUGUAGCGGUGAAAUGCGUAGAUAUCUGGAGGAACACCGGUGGCGAAGGCGGCAUCCUGGACCGGUAUUGACGCUGAGGCGCGAAAGCCAGGGGAGCAGACGGG
Molecule: ribosomal RNA, 253 nt
Filed under: uncultured bacterium
Lineage: Bacteria
Description: partial 16S ribosomal RNA
Rfam family: Bacterial small subunit ribosomal RNA
Source: RNAcentral